Molecule: ribosomal RNA, 491 nt
Filed under: uncultured bacterium
Lineage: Bacteria
Description: partial 16S ribosomal RNA
Rfam family: Bacterial small subunit ribosomal RNA
Source: RNAcentral
AGUGAACGCUGGCGGUAGGCCUAACACAUGCAAGUCGAACGGCAGCACAGUAAGAGCUUGCUCUUACGGGUGGCGAGUGGCGGACGGGUGAGGAAUACAUCGGAAUCUACUUUUUCGUGGGGGAUAACGUAGGGAAACUUACGCUAAUACCGCAUACGACCUACGGGUGAAAGCAGGGGAUCUUCGGACCUUGCGCGAUUGAAUGAGCCGAUGUCGGAUUAGCUAGUUGGCGGGGUAAGGGCCCACCAAGGCGACGAUCCGUAGCUGGUCUGAGAGGAUGAUCAGCCACACUGGAACUGAGACACGGUCCAGACUCCUACGGGAGGCAGCAGUGGGGAAUAUUGGACAAUGGGCGCAAGCCUGAUCCAGCCAUACCGCGUGGGUGAAGAAGGCCUUCGGGUUGUAAAGCCCUUUUGUUGGGAAAGAAAAGCAGCAGGUUAAUACCCCGCUGUUCUGACGGUACCCAAAGAAUAAGCACCGGCUAACUUCGU